RNAcentral lists this transfer RNA (72 nucleotides) under Ictidomys tridecemlineatus (thirteen-lined ground squirrel). Its description in RNAcentral is "Spermophilus tridecemlineatus (thirteen-lined ground squirrel) tRNA". It matches the Rfam family "tRNA". From Rfam's summary of the family: Transfer RNA (tRNA) molecules are approximately 80 nucleotides in length. The record is from Rfam by way of RNAcentral. Lineage: Eukaryota; Metazoa; Chordata; Mammalia; Rodentia; Sciuridae.
UGGAAUGUAGCUCAGUGGUAGAGCGCUUGCCUACCAUGCAUGAGGCUCUAAAUUUGAUCCCUAACAGUGCAA